This 613-nucleotide ribosomal RNA is filed under the name uncultured fungus. RNAcentral's name for it is "eukaryotic LSU rRNA". It matches the Rfam family "Eukaryotic large subunit ribosomal RNA", at positions 38 to 667 of the family's 3401-position model. The record is from RNAcentral. Lineage: Eukaryota; Fungi.
GCAUAUCAAUAAGCGGAGGAAAAGAAACCAACAGGGAUUGCCUUAGUAACGGCGAGUGAAGCGGCAAAAGCUCAAAUUUGAAAUCUGGCACUUUCAGUGUCCGAGUUGUAAUUUGAAGAAGGUAACUUUGGAAUUGGCCCUUGUCUAUGUUCCUUGGAACAGGACGUCACAGAGGGUGAGAAUCCCGUGCGAUGAGGUGACCAAUUCUAUGUAAAGUGCUUUCGAAGAGUCGAGUUGUUUGGGAAUGCAGCUCUAAGUGGGUGGUAAAUUCCAUCUAAAGCUAAAUAUUGGCGAGAGACCGAUAGCGAACAAGUACAGUGAUGGAAAGAUGAAAAGAACUUUGAAAAGAGAGUGAAAAAGUACGUGAAAUUGUUGAAAGGGAAGGGCUUGAGAUCAGACUUGGUAUUUUGCGUUCCCUUCCUUUUUGGUUGGGUUCCUCGCAGUUUACUGGGCCAGCAUCGGUUUGGAUGGUAGGAUAAUGACAUUGGAAUGUGGCUCUACUUCGGUGGAGUGUUAUAGACUCUGUUGAUACUACCUAUCUAGACCGAGGACUGCGUCUUUGACUAGGAUGCUGGCGUAAUGAUCUUAAGCCGCCCGUCUUGAAACACGGACC